CUAAAUAUAGCUUAUAAAAAGCAUUUAAAUGUUAAUUAAAAGAAACAAAAUUGUUAUUUAGA
Molecule: transfer RNA, 62 nt
Filed under: Gastrocopta cristata
Lineage: Eukaryota; Metazoa; Mollusca; Gastropoda; Stylommatophora; Pupillidae
Description: tRNA-Asn
Source: RNAcentral